UGCAUCGAUGAAGAACGCAGCGAAAUGCGAUACGUAGUGUGAAUUGCAGAAUUCCGCGAAUCAUCGAGUCUUUGAACGCAAGUUGCGCCCGAGGCUUGUCCGAGGGCAUUUCCGCUAGAGCGUCACCGCGCCCCCCACCGAUCCGCUCCCGCCGCGAGGCGCCAGUCGGUUCGAGUGGAAGUGGCCGUCCCGGUCGCGGCCUUCGCGAGAAGGCCUUGAGCGAGUGAGGGUCGGCUGAAAUGGAUGGAAUUGGGCCGCCGUGGUGACACAGUCCGCGAUCGGGUGAUUUUUCGCGAGCCUCCUCCGGGAGGGUCGCCGUGAAUUUUCUAAGUGCGUGGCUGCGUCCCCCAGUUGGUUUCGGUUACCUCGUGCAGGUCGUGCGCGCCCCCGCGGCGCGCGUCACGCAUCAGACCUCUAAUCGGAAAAGACUACCCGCUGAGUUUAAGCAUAUCAAUAAGCGGA
RNAcentral lists this ribosomal RNA (462 nucleotides) under Palamocladium euchloron. RNAcentral's name for it is "eukaryotic LSU rRNA". The stretch from base 1 to 125 matches the Rfam family "5.8S ribosomal RNA", at positions 29 to 154 of the family's 154-position model. Lineage: Eukaryota; Viridiplantae; Streptophyta; Bryopsida; Hypnales; Brachytheciaceae. The record is from RNAcentral.